GUGGGGAAUCUUCCGCAAUGGACGAAAGUCUGACGGAGCAACGCCGCGUGAGUGAAGAAGGUUUUCGGAUCGUAAAGCUCUUUCGUUAGGGACGAACGUGCUCUUUGUGAAUAAUGAGGAGUAAUGACGGUACCUAAAUAAGAAGCCACGGCUAACUACGUGCCAGCAGCCGCGGUAAUACGUAGGUGGCAAGCGUUGUCCGGAAUUAUUGGGCGUAAAGCGCGCUCAGGCGGGAUAUCAAGUCUGUCUUAAAAGUGCGAGGCUCAACCUCGUGAGGGGACAGAAACUGGUAUUCUUGAGUGUCGGAGAGGAAAGUGGAAUUCCAAGUGUAGCGGUGAAAUGCGUAGAGAUUUGGAAGAACACCAGUGGCGAAGGCGACUUUCUGGACGAUGUCUGACGCUGAGGCGCGAAAGCUAGGGGAGCGAACGGGAUUAGAAACCCCGGUAGUCC
This 450-nucleotide ribosomal RNA is filed under the name uncultured bacterium. RNAcentral describes it as "partial 16S ribosomal RNA". It matches the Rfam family "Bacterial small subunit ribosomal RNA", at positions 354 to 796 of the family's 1533-position model. The record is from RNAcentral.